GCGGACGUGGCUCAGUUGGUAGAGCAUCACCUUGCCAAGGUGAGGCUCGCGAGUUCGAAUCUCGUCGUCCGCU
This 73-nucleotide transfer RNA is filed under the name Saccharothrix sp. ST-888. It matches the Rfam family "tRNA". From Rfam's summary of the family: Transfer RNA (tRNA) molecules are approximately 80 nucleotides in length. Their secondary structure includes four short double-helical elements and three loops (D, anti-codon, and T loops). The record is from Rfam by way of RNAcentral. Lineage: Bacteria; Bacillati; Actinomycetota; Actinomycetes; Pseudonocardiales; Pseudonocardiaceae.